This 341-nucleotide ribosomal RNA is filed under the name uncultured bacterium. RNAcentral describes it as "bacterial SSU rRNA". It matches the Rfam family "Bacterial small subunit ribosomal RNA", at positions 1166 to 1505 of the family's 1533-position model. The record is from RNAcentral.
GAGGAAGGUGGGGAUGACGUCAAGUCCUCAUGGCCUUUAUGUCCAGGGCUACACACGUGCUACAAUGGCCGGUACAAACCGCUGCAAACCCGCGAGGGUGAGCCAAUCGGAGAAAGCCGGCCUCAGUUCGGAUUGCAGUCUGCAACUCGACUGCAUGAAGCUGGAAUCGCUAGUAAUCGCGGAUCAGCAUGCCGCGGUGAAUACGUUCCCGGGCCUUGUACACACCGCCCGUCACAUCACGAAAGUGGGUUGUACUAGAAGCAGGUGAGCUAACCGCAAGGGAGGCAGCCAACCACGGUCGGGUUAGAGACUGGGGUGAAGUCGUAACAAGGUAGCCGUAA